GGGCGCCAUCUUAGCCGGCGCGGGCGCAAGCUCCUCGGGGUGGCCCGGGCCGCGGCGUCCCGGAGGGUCCCACCCAGCGCGACCCUCCGGCCUCGGGGCAGCAUUUGAGAUUCGGAACGGUCGAGCGACUUGCAGUCAGAAGGUGGUGAAGUUAAAAGGGAACCAGAAUUUUCCUGACACCCUACCCGCUGCUGAACAGAAAGCCGGGACACCCACCCAGGCCUGGCUGAUGUCAAUAAAUGGCUCCCCAGGAGAAAUGAAAGAGCGGUGAAGAAGAAGGGGAGAGUGUGGAUGAGAAGGGUGAAGGGAGCGUUGGUGGGGCACAGUAUCUACUGCAGGACAGUUCCCGGUGGUCAGUCAGAUCAGAGUCCCAGGGGCCAUGGGGGACCACGAGGGGGAAGGUUACCAUCCAGAAACCCUCUCGUAGCUCAUUGUUUAAGGCAGAGGUUUUGAUUUAUUGUAGCUGCUAACUAUUGCACAGCUGACUGGAGAAGCCCUCGAGUAAUUAAAACUAAAGGCGUUGAAAUCAAAAUUUAUUCUUUCAUCCCCGUUAUUGACCUUUGAAGAACUUUCACUGGGGUGAAAAGGAACCCUCUCCAAGAUAGCCCAUGCACAUACACAUUCCAGUCUGGAUGCAGCCCCGCUUCAUCCAGCCCAGUGAACCGCACCACCAUCUACUGGUUUGCGGCAGCCAGAAACCUCAAGAUCCUCUUUGACUACACUUUCGCUUGACUUUAGGUGAAUAUAAAUGUUUUUCACUUUUUACUAUGGGAAAAUUAAAAAUAUAGGUGAAAGGAGAAAGAACAGUGUAAUGAACCCUCAUAUACCCAUCACUCAGUUUCAACAAUGAUCAACUCCUGGCCAAGAGUUUAUUAUUAUUUGACAAAUAUCUAUGAUAUAUGAAUCAUGUACCAAGUUCCACACUAGGUCCUAGGGAUCCAAAGAUGUAUCAGAUUUGAAUGUAACCCAAUCUGGAGGAUAUAACAUCUGGCCUGGGUCCUUGAUAGGUGAAUAAGAAUUAUCCAGAAAAAGAAAGUUGUCCUUAUUCAUUCAUUCAUUCUCUUUCAAUAAAUAAUUUUUAAUGUGUGAGGCACUGUCCUUGGUGCUAGGAACACAUAAAGAAACAAGAUUGUGUUUCUACCUUCUUAAAGCUUGAAUAAUGAGAAAGACAUUAAACGUGAUUAGAAAUGU
Molecule: long non-coding RNA, 1191 nt
Organism: Eptesicus fuscus (big brown bat)
Lineage: Eukaryota; Metazoa; Chordata; Mammalia; Chiroptera; Vespertilionidae
Exons: 2
Source: RefSeq, a predicted model, not a curated record